GCCAGUGUGGUAUAGUGGUUUGAGUUUCGGACUACAACUCUGGAAUCCUAGGUUCAAAUCCUAGCUUGGACA
Non-coding RNA from Phrynosoma platyrhinos (Desert horned lizard), 72 nucleotides. NCBI's taxonomy places the organism in Eukaryota, Metazoa, Chordata, Lepidosauria, Squamata, Phrynosomatidae. The record is from the annotation of a GenBank genome assembly.